Molecule: non-coding RNA, 159 nt
Filed under: bovine gut metagenome
Source: RNAcentral
GGUUCUUCGGUGAAGAUUAAUAGGGAACCCCGUGAAAAUCAGGGACUAAUCCCGUAGCUGUGAGCUUUAGAGAACGUUUGACAACCCAGCCACUGUCCAACCCAUGAGGACGGGAAGGCCGUCGGAGCGGAAGCGAGUCAGAAGACCUGCCUUGGAAAA